This 509-nucleotide long non-coding RNA is filed under the name Oryctolagus cuniculus (rabbit). RNAcentral describes it as "lncRNA (ENSOCUG00000034460.1)". Lineage: Eukaryota; Metazoa; Chordata; Mammalia; Lagomorpha; Leporidae. The record is from RNAcentral.
AUGCUCCAGCUGCAGUGGACUACCGUGCAGCCAUUACAGAUGAGUUUUGGGGAAAACAACGACAACAACAACCUGCCCCUUGCCGCCUUCUGUGCUGGAGAUCUUCCUGCACAAAAACACUGGAGAGUCCUGAAACCAGCAGCUGUGGGAGGUUCGGCAGGGGGAGGAGCUGCGAGGCAGGUGCCCUUCCUAAUGAUCCCGGCAGGAGCUCCUGGAGCUGGGGAGACCAGCACUUAGCCCUGACACUGCUAUUUCUGGUGAUCCAGUCCGCUAACGUCCCUGGACUUCACAGAUGUGCAAGCUCUAUGUCCAGCCUUUGUGUAUUAAUUACUCAGGUGGGUUCUGACGAUACAAUGGUGUGCAAGGAUGAAGACAGCUGAGACACAUUAUGUGGGGGUCUGGGUGGCUGGGGGGGGGGGGGGGGGCCGGACAAAAAACCUUCUAUAUUUGAAUGGGUUGGGGGGGGAUACGAACCUUGCCCCGAAAACCCGAGAAGGCUAAAGUAGAAA